RNAcentral lists this ribosomal RNA (307 nucleotides) under uncultured bacterium. RNAcentral describes it as "bacterial SSU rRNA". It matches the Rfam family "Bacterial small subunit ribosomal RNA", at positions 29 to 362 of the family's 1533-position model. The record is from RNAcentral.
AGCGAACGCUGGCGGCAGGCUUAACACAUGCAAGUCGAGCGGGCGUAGCAAUACGUCAGCGGCAGACGGGUGAGUAACACGUGGGAACGUACCUUUUGGUUCGGAACAACACAGGGAAACUUGUGCUAAUACCGAAUAAGCCCUUACGGGGAAGAUUAUCGCCGAAAGAUCGGCCCGCGUCUGAUUAGCUUGUUGGUGAGGUAACGGCUCACCAAGGCGACGAUCAGUAGCUGGUCNGAGAGGAUGAUCAGCCACACUGGGACUGAGACACGGCCCAGACUCCUACGGGAGGCAGCAGGUGGGGAAU